Molecule: non-coding RNA, 99 nt
Organism: Psilocybe cubensis
Lineage: Eukaryota; Fungi; Basidiomycota; Agaricomycetes; Agaricales; Agrocybaceae
Source: the annotation of a RefSeq genome assembly
GGUUCAAUGGUCUAGUGGUUAUGAUUUCUGUCUCACAUUGAGAUUUGCCGGAUUUAUUUGGCACACAGAAGGUCUCCAGUUCGAUCCUGGAUUGAACCA